AUUUUUACAUGAUGAAUUAUAAAAGCGGAAGAGUUCUUGAAGACUAUUAUUCACCACCCAAGCCUGAUAAUUUAA
Condylostylus longicornis is the source of this 75-nucleotide small nucleolar RNA. RefSeq annotates it as small nucleolar RNA CD11. The record is from RefSeq and is a predicted model, not a curated record. The transcript has a single exon. NCBI's taxonomy places the organism in Eukaryota, Metazoa, Arthropoda, Insecta, Diptera, Dolichopodidae.